This 269-nucleotide ribosomal RNA is filed under the name uncultured Oscillospiraceae bacterium. RNAcentral describes it as "partial 16S ribosomal RNA". It matches the Rfam family "Bacterial small subunit ribosomal RNA", at positions 73 to 339 of the family's 1533-position model. Lineage: Bacteria; Bacillati; Bacillota; Clostridia; Eubacteriales; Oscillospiraceae. The record is from RNAcentral.
AUUCGUCCAAGUGAAGCAGAGGACAGUGGCGGACGGGUGAGUAACGCGUGAGGAACCUGCCUUUCAGUGGGGGACAACAGUUGGAAACGACUGCUAAUACCGCAUAAUGUAUUCUGACCGCAUGAUCGGAAUACCAAAGAUUUAUUGCUGAAAGAUGGCCUCGCGUCUGAUUAGAUAGUUGGCGGGGUAACGGCCCACCAAGGCGACGAUCAGUAGCCGGACUGAGAGGUUGAACGGUCACAUUGGGACUGAGAUACGGCCCAGACUCC